Molecule: ribosomal RNA, 492 nt
Filed under: uncultured bacterium
Lineage: Bacteria
Description: partial 16S ribosomal RNA
Rfam family: Bacterial small subunit ribosomal RNA
Source: RNAcentral
AUUGAACGCUGGCGGCAUGCCUUACACAUGCAAGUCGAACGGUAACAGGCCUUCGGGUGCUGACGAGUGGCGAACGGGUGAGUAAUGCAUCUGAACGUGCCCAGAGGUGGGGGGUAACGCAGCGAAAGCUGUGCUAAUACCGCACGUGAUCUGAGGAUGAAAGCGGGGGACCAGGCAGCAAUGUUUGGCCUCGCGCCUUUGGAGCGGCCGAUGUCAGAUUAGGUAGUUGGUGGGGUAAAGGCCUACCAAGCCGACGAUCUGUAGCUGGUCUGAGAGGACGACCAGCCACACUGGGACUGAGACACGGCCCAGACUCCUACGGGAGGCAGCAGUGGGGAAUUUUGGACAAUGGGCGCAAGCCUGAUCCAGCAAUGCCGCGUGUGGGAAGAAGGCCUUCGGGUUGUAAAGCGCUUUUGGACGGAACGAAAAGGAUUUAGCUAAUACCUGGGGCUGAUGACGGUACCGUAAGAAUAAGCACCGGCUAACUACGUG